RNAcentral lists this transfer RNA (74 nucleotides) under Vitis vinifera (wine grape). It matches the Rfam family "tRNA". From Rfam's summary of the family: Transfer RNA (tRNA) molecules are approximately 80 nucleotides in length. Their secondary structure includes four short double-helical elements and three loops (D, anti-codon, and T loops). Further hydrogen bonds mediate the characteristic L-shaped molecular structure. tRNAs have two regions of fundamental functional importance: the anti-codon, which is responsible for specific mRNA codon recognition, and the 3' end, to which the tRNAs corresponding amino acid is attached (by aminoacyl-tRNA synthetases). tRNAs cope with the degeneracy of the genetic code in two manners: having more than one tRNA (with a specific anti-codon) for a particular amino acid; and 'wobble' base-pairing, i.e. permitting non-standard base-pairing at the 3rd anti-codon position. Lineage: Eukaryota; Viridiplantae; Streptophyta; Magnoliopsida; Vitales; Vitaceae. The record is from Rfam by way of RNAcentral.
AGGAUUGUAGUUCAAUUGGUCAAAGCACGGUCCUAUCAAGGUGGAAGCUGCAGGUUCGAGCCCCGUCAGUCCUG